This 73-nucleotide transfer RNA is filed under the name Gloeobacterales cyanobacterium ES-bin-141. It matches the Rfam family "tRNA". Rfam says of the family: Transfer RNA (tRNA) molecules are approximately 80 nucleotides in length. The record is from Rfam by way of RNAcentral. Lineage: Bacteria; Bacillati; Cyanobacteriota; Cyanophyceae; Gloeobacterales.
GGAGCGUUGGCCGAGCGGUUUAGGCAGCGAACUCAUAAUUCGCCACACGCUGGUUCGAACCCAGCACGCUCCA